Molecule: long non-coding RNA, 350 nt
Filed under: Homo sapiens (human)
Lineage: Eukaryota; Metazoa; Chordata; Mammalia; Primates; Hominidae
Description: HSALNT0043459
Source: RNAcentral
CUUUGACGUAAUCAACCUCUGAAUCUUUUGAGGUUCAUCCAUCAUUAAUUUGAAGUAAUUGUUUUGACAUUGUUGAUCUCUCAAAACAUAAAAAGUACUCCCUAACAAGAAAGAGGCUGUGAUUUCAUUAAGGAUUUGUUACAUUUCAAGGGGGAAUACAAUUAUUUUAUGAAAAACAAAAGGAACAAAUAGAAUUAAGCUGACCUUUUAAUAAAUGUCUGUUUAUUGCCACUAAUGAAAAACAGAAGCAAAUAAGGCCAUAUUGACCCCUGACUUGUCUAAAUAAGGUGGGAUCAUCAUUACUUCAGAGAGUUUUAUCGAAACCACGAUUGCACUAGCUGCUUAUAAUU